CUGGACUGCUCUUGAUCUUAUCGGUAACGCAUUUUAUCUGCCCGUUUAUCUGCCCUGGGAGUCUCGGUGGUGGAGGGAGACACAGAACAAGAUCCAGAGAACUAUACAGAGGAAAACUGAGUUACUCUUCAAUUACGCUUUUUCUCGCAAACUGACGUAUUUCUGGGCAGCGGACGUAAUAUAAAAGUAAGGGAGAAUAUUGGAAACGCAGACAAGACGCAGCACAGAGACAGGAAACAAGUCUCUGGGAAGUGAAGCUGCACAAAACCCACGACAGCAUCUCAUUAUCCACUAAAUAGCACCAGAUUAAUUACAAUGACAAUGACAGAUGGCUUGUUCCUGGAUCAUUGAGAUGGGACCCAGGGGAGAGACUGAAACAUGCAGUACUCUGCAGAUUCUCUGGGGGCUUCAGGUCAGGCAAGUUGGCUGGCCAAUCAGAUGCACUGAUAAGAUGGUCAGAGAAACAUUCGGUAGUAGUUUUGGCACUGUGGGCAGGUGCUGAAGCCUGCUGGAAAAGAAAAUUGG
This is a long non-coding RNA of Oreochromis aureus, 525 nucleotides long. The record is from Ensembl. Lineage: Eukaryota; Metazoa; Chordata; Actinopteri; Cichliformes; Cichlidae.